Molecule: ribosomal RNA, 252 nt
Filed under: uncultured Bacteroidales bacterium
Lineage: Bacteria; Pseudomonadati; Bacteroidota; Bacteroidia; Bacteroidales
Description: partial 16S ribosomal RNA
Rfam family: Bacterial small subunit ribosomal RNA
Source: RNAcentral
GGGCAGCGCUGCUAACUGCAGUCGACGAGACCUUCGGGUCUAGUGGCGCACGGGUGCGUAACGCGUGGGAAUCUGCCCUUAGGUACGGAAUAACAGUGAGAAAUUACUGCUAAUACCGUAUGAUGUCUUCGGACCAAAGAUUUAUCGCCUAGGGAUGAGCCCGCGUUGGAUUAGCUAGUUGGUGGGGUAAAGGCCUACCAAGGCGACGAUCCAUAGCUGGUCUGAGAGGAUGAUCAGCCACACUGGGACUGA